RNAcentral lists this ribosomal RNA (284 nucleotides) under uncultured bacterium. Its description in RNAcentral is "partial 16S ribosomal RNA". It matches the Rfam family "Bacterial small subunit ribosomal RNA", at positions 28 to 312 of the family's 1533-position model. The record is from RNAcentral.
GACGAACGCUGGCGGCGUGCUUAACACAUGCAAGUCGAGCGGUAAGGCCCUUUCGGGGGUACACGAGCGGCGAACGGGUGAGUAACACGUGGGUGACCUGCCCUCAGCUCUGGGAUAAGCCUGGGAAACCGGGUCUAAUACUGGAUAUGACUCCAUGACGCAUGUUGGUGGGGUGGAAAGCCCUUGUGCGGCUGAGGAUGGGCCCGCGGCCUAUCAGCUUGUUGGUGGGGUGAGGCCUACCAAGGCGACGACGGGUAGCCGGCCUGAGAGGGCGACCGGCCACA